RNAcentral lists this non-coding RNA (28 nucleotides) under Mus musculus (house mouse). The record is from RNAcentral. Lineage: Eukaryota; Metazoa; Chordata; Mammalia; Rodentia; Muridae.
UACAAUGUAUUGUGUGCAAUUGGUUAGC